This 513-nucleotide ribosomal RNA is filed under the name uncultured bacterium. RNAcentral describes it as "partial 16S ribosomal RNA". It matches the Rfam family "Bacterial small subunit ribosomal RNA", at positions 28 to 523 of the family's 1533-position model. The record is from RNAcentral.
GACGAACGCUGGCGGCAUGCCUAAUACAUGCAAGUCGAGCGAACGGAUGAAGUGCUUGCACUUCUGACGUUAGCGGCGAACGGGUGAGUAACACGUAAGGAAUCUACCUAUAAGCGGGGGAUAACAUUCGGAAACGGGUGCUAAUACCGCAUAAUAUCUUCUUCCGCAUGGAAGAAGAUUGAAAGACGGCUCUGCUGUCACUUAUAGAUGACCUUGCGGUGCAUUAGUUAGUUGGUGGGGUAAUGGCCUACCAAGACGAUGAUGCAUAGCCGACCUGAGAGGGUGAUCGGCCACAUUGGGACUGGGACACGGCCCAAACUCCUACGGGAGGCAGCAGUAGGGAAUCUUCCGCAAUGGGCGAAAGCCUAACGGAGCAAUGCCGCGUGAGUGAAGAAGGCCUUCGGGUCGUAAAACUCUGUUAUAAGAGAAGAACAAAUUGUAGAGUAACUGCUACAGUCUUGACGGUAUCUUAUCAGAAAGCCACGGCUAACUACGUGCCAGCAGCCGCCGUAA